GAUGAACGCUGGCGGCGUGCCUAAUACAUGCAAGUCGAGCGAACGGACGAGAAGCUUGCUUCUCUGAUGUUAGCGGCGGACGGGUGAGUAACACGUGGAUAACCUACCUAUAAGACUGGGAUAACUUCGGGAAACCGGAGCUAAUACCGGAUAAUAUUUUGAACCGCAUGGUUCAAAAGUGAAAGACGGUCUUGCUGUCACUUAUAGAUGGAUCCGCGCUGCAUUAGCUAGUUGGUAAGGUAACGGCUUACCAAGGCAACGAUGCAUAGCCGACCUGAGAGGGUGGUUGGCCAACCUGGAACUGAGCACAGGUCCAGACUCCUACGGGAGGCAGGCGUAGGGAAUCUUCCGAAAUUGGGCGAAGGCCGAAGGGGGAAACCCGGCGGAGGGAUUAAGGUUCUCGGAUCGUAAAACUCUGUUAUUAGGGAAGAACAUAUGUGUAAGUAACUGUGCACAUCUUGACGGUACCUAAUCAGAAAGCCACGGCUAACUACGUG
RNAcentral lists this ribosomal RNA (497 nucleotides) under uncultured bacterium. Its description in RNAcentral is "partial 16S ribosomal RNA". It matches the Rfam family "Bacterial small subunit ribosomal RNA", at positions 28 to 507 of the family's 1533-position model. The record is from RNAcentral.